GACGAACGCUGGCGGCGUGCUUAACACAUGCAAGUCGAACGGUAAGGCCCUUCGGGGUACACGAGUGGCGAACGGGUGAGUAACACGUGGGUGAUCUGCCCUGCACUUCGGGAUAAGCCUGGGAAACUGGGUCUAAUACCGGAUAGGACCACUUCCUGCAUGGGUGGUGGUGGAAAGCUUUUGCGGUGUGGGAUGGGCCCGCGGCCCAUCAGCUUGUUGGUGGGGUAAUGGCCUACCAAGGCGACGACGGGUAGCCGGCCUGAGAGGGUGACCGGCCACACUGGGACUGAGAUACGGCCCAGACUCCUACGGGAGGCAGCAGUGGGGAAUAUUGCACAAUGGGCGCAAGCCUGAUGCAGCGACGCCGCGUGAGGGAUGACGGCCUUCGGGUUGUAAACCUCUUUCAGCACCGACGAAGCGCAAGUGACGGUAGGUGCAGAAGAAGGACCGGCCAACUACGUGCCAGCCGCCGCAGUAA
This 478-nucleotide ribosomal RNA is filed under the name uncultured bacterium. RNAcentral's name for it is "partial 16S ribosomal RNA". It matches the Rfam family "Bacterial small subunit ribosomal RNA", at positions 28 to 523 of the family's 1533-position model. The record is from RNAcentral.